UGAGGAAUAUUGGACAAUGGGUGAAAGCCUGAUCCAGCCAUCCCGCGUGAAGGAUGACGGUCCUAUGGAUUGUAAACCUCUUUUGUAUAGGAAUAAACCUUUCUACGUGUAGAAAGCUGAAGGUACUAUACGAAUAAGCACCGGCUAACUCCGUGCCAGCAGCCGCGGUAAUACGGAGGGUGCAAGCGUUAUCCGGAUUUAUUGGGUUUAAAGGGUCCGUAGGCGGACCGAUAAGUCAGUGGUGAAAUCUCAUAGCUUAACUAUGAAACUGCCAUUGAUACUGUCGGUCUUGAGUAAAUUAGAGGUAGCUGGAAUAAGUAGUGUAGCGGUGAAAUGCAUAGAUAUUACUUAGAACACCAAUUGCGAAGGCAGGUUACCAUGAUUUAACUGACGCUGAGGGACGAAAGCGUGGGGAGCGAACA
RNAcentral lists this ribosomal RNA (422 nucleotides) under uncultured bacterium. RNAcentral describes it as "bacterial SSU rRNA". It matches the Rfam family "Bacterial small subunit ribosomal RNA", at positions 355 to 774 of the family's 1533-position model. The record is from RNAcentral.